GCCUGCUGCCCCAGCAUGAUGGCAAGCAGGCUGACUCGGCAGCGUGAUAGCAAGCAAGCUGGAUCGGAUGAUAGUUUCUUAGUCUCACUCUAGAUAAUCUGCUCUCAAACUGAGGCACAGAAUCCUGCAAAAGUAGAUUACAGUUGUUGCUUCUACAGGUUCUAAAAGUUGUGUUCAUGGAUCCAGAGCUUCUAAUGUGUGACUUUUCAGUUCUCAGGUAACUACAGAUUUUGGUGUGAUCGGUGCCACCUGAUGAUUUGGUUUGUUUCAUUUUGUGCUUCUUCCAAGUCAGAUGUUGCGCGUUCACUUGCAUUUGCUUUUGUAGUUGUGAGAAUGGAUAGGGCUGACCAACAUGAUCCACCAGGGCGUCCCCGCUGGUGCCAUGGGAGAGGCCAGACUGGGGAUGUUGGUCCAAUUGCUCGCUCCGGAGGAAAUGUCAAAAUUCAGAAAGAGGUAAUUCCAACUUUCGGUGAGGGCCAACAUGGAUUUCUAGAGUAAUGCAUCCUAUUUAUUCAAUUUUAUGUUCUUCCUUCAAUUUGUGCAGUCAAAUUUAAGAAGCAGAUACUUAUCCAGCCAACAACACACAUGUUACCUCUAAAGGAGUAUCACUGACCUACAUUUAUAUGCAAAUCUGAAUAGAACGUAUUCUUCCGCUUUAUCUAAAAUAAUCUCACAACUGUACCGAAAGGAAAAUGGUAGUUAGUGCAAAAUUGUGGUUGGAUCUUAUGUACUUUCAGUCAUUACACAAGCUAUCUUGAAGCUUCGAUUUUUAUGGUUGGAUUUUAUGUACUUUGGAGUGACAAGCAAGAAGAUCCGUGUCGUAACUGCACUGGAAUAAAACUCAUCCGCAUGAUGAUGCUUAUAAGUGCCCUAUGAGUUAAUAUAUAUCGGACGAGCUAACGUAGUCUUAUUUUAUAAUUUGUUUUUACUCAUGAUUUUACUUAAUUGUCAAAAAUGUGCACAACUAUUAGCCUGCUAACCUUUUGUCGUUCUGUGUGCUGUCUGUAUAAAUACGUGGAGUUAUUUCAAGUUCAACGCUUCAGCUUGAGCACGUGGAUUUCGCUUAGGAGUGUCAACUACUGAAUUUAUUUGUCAUCAUAAACAUGCUACAGUUGUGUUAUCUAUAUUUUCUAUUAGUAACCAUUUCCAUGCUAUUUUAUAGUCAGCUCUCUGUUUGCUAUACUUCGCGUUGUUGUAUGGAAUUGUGCUGAAGACUACUCUCAGUAUCUUCUGUCUUAUACAGUUAUACUGCUUCUAUCCAUUUUAUUCAGCUUACUCUGCAAUGACUAUGAUCUCUAUGAAAUCAGCUCUUCCUCUGCUUUUGUGAUUUUGAUUUAUUCUUCAGGCUAUCAAACAUAAGCUUAUAGUCUAUGCUUAUAAGAUGCAACAAAUCUCAGCAUUGGGAGUGAAGGUUCAGCUUUUCCAGUUACCUUCCUUAGGGGCUGUAUACUUGGAGGUGCGCAGUUUUUGGCAACAGGGCCGUCAGGUCUCCUGAUGGUACUGAUUCUCUUCCUUUUUCUCCUACAUGAGUUAACAACCUCUGCUAUCAAAAUUGCAAGUGUUUAGGUUUCAAUUUUUUUUGCAACUGUUUAUAAAAGGAGCUAGGCAGAAAAUCAUAUAAUUUAGAUUAGACAUGCAUAUCUAUGUUAUAGUUCUUUCCACAAUGGAACUUCCAUGCUUUGUUUACAAAAUCCACACAAAAGCGCAUGAAAUACUUGGCCGAAAGUACAUUCCACACAAAAGCUAAGAAAACAUAUUGUGUUAGCAAAUCCUAUGCUACAAAUUUUUAUGCCAUGGUAUUGAUCAAUUGCAAUAAGUGUUCAUUCCUUCUUGCUACAAAAUAAAAGCUACGCUUACAGAAAAAAAUUAGUUAGCAUACAUGCUGGUUACAUUUUUUGACCAAUUUCCUAAUCAAUAUGGAGGCUAUAAAUCUUCAUGCCAGUUACCUCAAGCAAAGUACACUUUACUGGGAAUCAGAGUGAUGCAAAGAAAUAACUAACACAACACUACUUAUAAGAUUUAAUUAGGAAGUUGCAGAGAUGCCCACGGACAAAAUACUACAGGUGGUUGGCAGGCUACCGAUGACAGUGCACGCAAGGAGGGGUGGUGCAGGGCAAGUUGCUCUAUCCAAUCGACGACGUAGUCGCCUUUGUAGUUGUCCUUGAGCGCUGGUGAUCUGCCGCUGCAACCCUGUGGCCAGGCUCGAUGCUGCCGGGCGGGACGGGGAGACGAGCAGUAGAGGGCGACAACAGCAGCGCUCGAGGACAUGCAUGGACAUGAUCUUGAACAAGGUGGUGGCAAACGUUAGAGGAUGGCUGCUGCUUUGCAAGAAUGCUCAUAAUUUUCACUCUUCGACAGGAAAGUGGUGCUGCUGGAAAAAACAAGGGGCGGGUAGGGGUAGUUGCAGAUUGCCUAGACAUGAACUUUGCAACCUUUGGAUAUGUUGCAGUGUUCUCCUCCUCUAGAUUAGCUUUUGAGUUGUUCUCUUAGAAAUUAUAACUGGAUGAUGUAUAAGAACUUUUUUGGUUGUA
This is a long non-coding RNA of Lolium perenne, 2531 nucleotides long. RefSeq lists it as uncharacterized. The record is from RefSeq and is a predicted model, not a curated record. NCBI's taxonomy places the organism in Eukaryota, Viridiplantae, Streptophyta, Magnoliopsida, Poales, Poaceae.